Apaloderma vittatum (bar-tailed trogon) is the source of this 444-nucleotide RNA transcript. It is a transcript of the gene named vacuolar protein sorting-associated protein 13B pseudogene, with no coding region annotated. The transcript has 3 exons. NCBI's taxonomy places the organism in Eukaryota, Metazoa, Chordata, Aves, Trogoniformes, Trogonidae. The record is from RefSeq and is a predicted model, not a curated record.
UACAUUUGCAGUUUUCUUUUAUUAGGUGUGAAAUCUAAGAAUCCCCUGCCAACUCUUGAGGGUUCAAUCCAGAAUGUUGAAUUGAAGUACUGCGGCACAUCAUUGGUCAAAUGUGCCUCUGGGACCGUGGGAUCAAUAAAAAUUUGUGCCAAAGCCCCAGGUGACGGUGGAAAGGAGAAGCUGAUUCCUUUAAUUCAAGGCCCUUCUGACACCAGAGACUUACACAGCAGCAGAUGGCUCAAUGAAAGUAGAAAGCCAGAAUCUCUCUUAGCUCCAGACUUGGUAGCCUUUACAAUCCAAAUUCCACAGUGUAUGGACUACUGCCAUAAUUCCGGUGCGGUACUCUUAUCCAGUGUACAAGGAUUAGCAAUUAAUGUUGAUCCAGUCCUGUACACCUGGCUUAUCUACCAACCUCAGAAACGAACUGGUAGACACCUUCAGCAG